Molecule: RNA transcript, 3402 nt
Organism: Myotis daubentonii (Daubenton's bat)
Lineage: Eukaryota; Metazoa; Chordata; Mammalia; Chiroptera; Vespertilionidae
Gene: TCFL5
Gene name: transcription factor like 5
Exons: 9
Source: RefSeq, a predicted model, not a curated record
GCGCGCUGGGCCGGCGGUUUCCGGCGCGCCGUCCGCCUGAGCGUGUCCGACGCCGGCCCGCCCGCCGCGCGCCCCCCGCCGUUGGCGCCGGCAUGUCGGGCCCCGGGCCGCGGGAGCCGCCGCAGGCGCAGGCGGGCGGGCCGGCGGGCCCCGAGGGCGCGGACGCGGCGCUGGGCGAGGCGGGACUGAGCUUCACGACCACCGACCUGAGCCUGGUGGAGAUGACGGAGGUCGAGUACACGCAGCUGCAGCACAUCCUCUACUCGCACAUGGAGGCGGCGGCCGAGGGCGAGCUCGAGACGCGCCUCAACUCGGCCUUCCUAGCGGCGGGGGGCGCGGCGGCGGCGGGGGGCCCGGCGGCGGCGGCGGCGGGCGGGGGCGCGGCGCCCGUGUACCCGCUGCUGUGCCCGCCGGCGCUGGCCGACGGCGGCUUCGCGGGCGCCAACCCGUGCCUGGGCCACAUCGACUUCCAGGAGCUGCGCAUGAUGCUGCUGAGCGAGGCGGGCGCGCCCCCCGCCGCCGCUGCCGCCGAGAAGACGCCGGGCGCCGACGGCCCGGGCCCCGGCGCAGCGCGGCCCAAGGCGCCCGACGCCGCCGGCAAGGAGAACGCGGAGGGCGCUGGCGAGGCGCGGGCCAAGUCGGCGGUGCGCGUCCGCCUGGAGGACCGCUUCAACAGCAUCCCCGCCGAGCCCCCGCCCGCCCCGCGCGGCGCCGAGCCCCCCGAGCCCGGCGUGGCGCUCAACAAUUUGGUGACUCUUAUUCGACAUCCAUCUGAGUUAAUGAACGUUCCUCUUCAGCAACAAAACAAAUGCACAGCGUUAGUGAAAAAUAAGACCGCCGCCGCCGCCACGACCCUGCAGCUCACCUACCCCCUGUUCACUGCGAACGCCUGCUCCUCUGGAGGGGGCACCAGCCUCUCUCAGACUCAGAGCUCUAAUAACUCCUGUUCUAUACUUGAGGCUGCCAAACAUCAGGAUAUUGGAUUGCCGAGAGCAUUCUCCUUCUGUUACCAACAAGAGAUUGAGUCCACGAAGCAGACUUUAGGCAGUAGAAACAAAGCUUUGCCCGAGCAGGUUUGGAUUAAAGUGGGAGAAGAAGCGCUGUGCAAACAAGCGAUAAAUAAGAGGAAUCGGAGUAGGAUACGGCAGUUGGACGCCAGUGUGGAGCGAAGAGCCCUCGGAGAGAUUCAGAACGUGGGCGAAGGUGCCACCACCGCCCAGGGCUCCUGGCAGUCUGCAGAGUCAUCGCAGUCUCAUCUUGGGGAGCAGUCCCAGAGCGCCCCGGGCGGAAGGUCACAGCGCAGGGAAAGGCACAACCGCAUGGAGAGGGACAGGAGGCGCAGAAUCCGCAUUUGCUGUGAUGAGUUGAAUCUUUUGGUCCCGUUCUGCAACGCCGAGACAGAUAAGGCCACGACCCUGCAGUGGACCACUGCGUUCCUAAAGUACAUUCAGGAGCGCCAUGGAGAUUCUCUUAAGAAGGGAAUCAACAGUAGAGUAGAAGAUUCUGAGAAUCAAAUCAACCAUUUGAAAUAUGUGGAAGCAAAAAACAACCAAUCAGAGGAGCAAAAAGAAUCCAAAAAUUUGAAGAUAAUAUAAGGAGCCUUUGGGACAACUUCAAGCAUACCAACACUUGCAUUAUGGGGGUGCCAGAAGGAGAAGAGAGAGCAAGAUAUUUAAAACCUAUUUGAAGAGAACUUCCCCUACCUGAUGAAAGAAAUAGACUUACAAGUCCAGGAAGUGCAGAGAGUCCCAAACAAGGAACCCAAAGAGGCCCCACACCAAGACACCUCAUAAUUAAAAUGCCAAGGGUUAAAGACAAAGAGAAAAAAUUAAAAGCAGCAAGAGAAAAGCAGUUCCUUCAAGGGAGUGCCCAUAUGACUGUCAGCUGAUUUCUCAACAAAAACUUUGCAGGCCAGAAGGGGAGUAGCAAGAAAUAUUAAAGUGAUGAAUAGCAAGGACCUACAACCAAGAUUAUCCAGCAAAGCUAUCGUUUAGAAUUGAGGUCAGAUAAAAAGCUUCACAGACAAGAAAAAGCUAAAGUUCAUCUCCACCAAACCAGUAUUACAUGAAAUGUUGAAGGGUAUUCUUUAAGAAAAGAAGAAAGGAAAAGAAAAAGAUAAAAAAUAUGAACAAUAAAAUGGCAAUAUAUACAUAUCUGUCAACAAUUGAAUCUAAAAAAAUAAGGAAUCUAAUGAACAAAAUAGAAUCAGAGGUAUGGAAACAUGGAACAGACUGACGAAUCUCAGAGGAAAGGGGUAUUUACCCCAAAGAAUUGAAAGCAGGAACCCAAAUGGAUACUUGUAUGAAAAUGUUCACAACAGCAUCAUUCACAACGGGCAAAAUGUGCUCUGUCCACACAAAGCACUGUUACUCAGCCAUAAAAAUGAAGGAAGUCCUGACAACUGCGACAUGGAGGGACCUGGAAGACAUAAGUAACAUCAGCCAGUCACAGAGGACAAGUCCUGGGAUUCCACUUACAUGAGGGCCUAGAGGAGCCACAUUCACAGAGACAGAGACCCCUAGCAAGAUGUGACGUAAGUUUGGGAACCAGUGACCCAGGUACAUGCCCUUGACCGGAAUGGAACCCAGAGCUUUCUGGUGCUCGGGCUGACGCUCUAACCACUGACCCACGUUGGCCAGGGCUAACUGUAUAUUUUGAAGAAUUUGAGAGCGUGUUUUGCGGGAAAACUGGCAGGAGGCUAAAGUUGACCAGACCAGACUCCCUGGCGCCGUGCCCUGCGCAGGAGAGUCUACAGAGCAGCCCUGCCAUGGAGAUCAAGUGAGCGGACUGGACACUGGUUCCUGGAAGCAGGCGGCCUCUGCCCGGCCGUGGGCGUGUCCCAGCCUGGAGCUCUGCGCCAGCCGCCCACUCUCGAGGGACAUGACUCAAGUUGGAACUCCAGUGGGGACUUUGAAAGCACAUUUUGUAAAAAUAUUUAGAACAAAAUAUAAAACAAAAUAUUUGUCCAUUACUGUCCUCUUAGACCAUUGGGAUGCAGACACUGUGACAAUUAGUAAUUUUUCAAUUAUCUGUCUGAUUCCAUCAUGUUUUCUUAACAUGAUAACUUAAAAAAUGAACACCCUUUGUAAUUUCUUUAGUCUCACAGGUACACUGCUUUUUACUUAUUUCCUUUACAUUUAAAAAUGCCCCCUUAGCAAUUGGAAAGGUCAAAAUGUUCUUCACUAGAAGUAGUUUGGAAAUUCAUUUCAUUUGUUUAUCGCCUCCCCUUGCAACGACUUCCAGUCACAUGGACUGCAUUGCAGAAUUUUGCUAGGAAACUUCCAGAGACAUCUUUAAAGCUCCUUUGUCCAUAGAUGAGAUGUUGUCACCGUGGGCUGCUCUGGUGACCUCACUUUCACACUGAGUCAGUACUUCAUGUAAUAAACUAUUGUUCAGAACUGA